RNAcentral lists this ribosomal RNA (200 nucleotides) under uncultured bacterium. RNAcentral's name for it is "partial 16S ribosomal RNA". It matches the Rfam family "Bacterial small subunit ribosomal RNA", at positions 29 to 259 of the family's 1533-position model. The record is from RNAcentral.
AGCGAACGCUGGCGGCAGGCUUAACACAUGCAAGUCGAACGCUCCGCAAGGUGAGUGGCAGACGGGUGAGUAACGCGUGGGAAUCUACCCAUCUCUACGGAAUAACUCAGGGAAACUUGUGCUAAUACCGUAUACGCCCUUCGGGGAAAGAUUUAUCGGAGAUGGAUGAGCCCGCGUUGGAUUAGUUAGUUGGUGGGGUA